RNAcentral lists this ribosomal RNA (468 nucleotides) under uncultured bacterium. RNAcentral's name for it is "partial 16S ribosomal RNA". It matches the Rfam family "Bacterial small subunit ribosomal RNA", at positions 28 to 507 of the family's 1533-position model. The record is from RNAcentral.
GACGAACGCUGGCGGCGUGCUUAACACAUGCAAGUCGAACGGAAAGGCCCUGCUUUUGUGGGGUGCUCGAGUGGCGAACGGGUGAGUAACACGUGAGUAACCUGCCCUUGACUUUGGGAUAACUUCAGGAAACUGGGGCUAAUACCGGAUAGGAGCUCCUGCUGCAUGGUGGGGGUUGGAAAGUUUCGGCGGUUGGGGAUGGACUCGCGGCUUAUCAGCUUGUUGGUGGGGUAGUGGCUUACCAAGGCUUUGACGGGUAGCCGGCCUGAGAGGGUGACCGGCCACAUUGCGACUGAGAUACGGACCAGACUCCUAUGGGAGGCAGCAGUGGGGAGUAUUGCACAAUGGGCGGAAGCCUGAGGAAGAAACGCCGCGUGCGGGAUGAAGGCCUUCGGGUUGUAAACCGCUUUAGGCUGUGACGAAGCGUGAGUGACGGUAAUGGGUAAAGAAGCACCGGCUAACUACGUG